GUAGGGUGCAAGCGUUAAUCGGAAUUACUGGGCGUAAAGCGUGCGCAGGCGGUUGUGCAAGACAGAUGUGAAAUCCCCGGGCUCAACCUGGGAAUUGCAUUUGUGACUGCACGGCUAGAGUGUGUCAGAGGGGGGUAGAAUUCCACGUGUAGCAGUGAAAUGCGUAGAGAUGUGGAGGAAUACCGAUGGCGAAGGCAGCCCCCUGGGAUAACACUGACGCUCAUGCACGAAAGCGUGGGGAGCAAACAGGAUUAGAUACCCUGGUAGUCCCACGCCCCUAAACGAUGUCAACUAGUUGUCGGGUCUUAAUUGACUUGGUAACGCAGCUAACGCGUGAAGUUGACCGCCUGGGGAGUACGGUCGCAAGAUUA
Molecule: ribosomal RNA, 371 nt
Filed under: uncultured organism
Description: partial 16S ribosomal RNA
Rfam family: Bacterial small subunit ribosomal RNA
Source: RNAcentral